RNAcentral lists this ribosomal RNA (459 nucleotides) under uncultured bacterium. RNAcentral's name for it is "partial 16S ribosomal RNA". It matches the Rfam family "Bacterial small subunit ribosomal RNA", at positions 338 to 795 of the family's 1533-position model. The record is from RNAcentral.
CCUACGGGAGGCAGCAGUGAGGAAUAUUGGUCAAUGGCCGGGAGGCUGAACCAGCCAAGUCGCGUGAGGGAAGACGGCCCUACGGGUUGUAAACCUCUUUUGUCAGGGAGCAAGGUGCAGGUCGGGACCUGCUGUGAGAGUACCUGAAGAAAAAGCAUCGGCUAACUCCGUGCCAGCAGCCGCGGUAAUACGGAGGAUGCGAGCGUUAUCCGGAUUUAUUGGGUUUAAAGGGUGCGCAGGCGGAGGCACAAGUCAGCGGUAAAAUCGCGGGGCUCAACCCCGCUCCGCCGUUGAAACUGUGGCCCUUGAGUGCGCGAAGGGUAGGCGGAAUGCGUGGUGGAGCGGUGAAAUGCAUAGAUAUCACGCAGAACUCCGAUCGCGAAGGCAGCCUACCGGCGCGCAACUGACGCUCAUGCACGAAAGCGUGGGUAUCGAACAGGAUUAGAUACCCUGGUAGUC